GCCGGGCGUGGUGGCGUGCACCUGUAAUCCCAGCUACUCAGGAGGCUGAGGCAGAAGAAUUGCUUGAACCUGGUAGGCGGAGGUUGCAGUGAGCCGAGAUCGUGCCACUGCACUCCAGCCUGGAGACAGAAUGAGACUCCGUCUCAAAAAUAAAUAAAUAAAUAAGCAAUCCUUCUUCCUUUUUUUUUUUUUUUUUUUUUGAGACGGGGUUUUGCUCUGCCCCCCAGGCUGGAGUGCAGUGGCUGGAUCUCAGCUCACUGCAAGCUCCGCCUCCCGGGUUUACGCCAUUCUCCUGCCUCAG
This 301-nucleotide small RNA is filed under the name Papio anubis (olive baboon). RNAcentral describes it as "Metazoan signal recognition particle RNA (ENSPANG00000050957.1)". The record is from Rfam by way of RNAcentral. Lineage: Eukaryota; Metazoa; Chordata; Mammalia; Primates; Cercopithecidae.